CUUCAAUAUGGUUUCCAACUCCAAUUCUGGUGCAGACCAUUUGCUUUGUGUAAUUUCUACUCUUUUCAUUUAUACUUAAAAUAUUGAUUUUUUGUCAUCUUUUUGAUCAUGCAAUUUAUGCUGGUCUUGAAUUUACUUUGUAGCCCAGGCUGUCCUUGAACAUGCAGCAAUCCUCCUGCCUUAGCUUCCUGAGUCCUGGGGUACAGCGACUUGGCACCAUGCCUCACUGAAUUAUUUUUGAACUGCUAUAGAAUCUCUGACUGUGUGGUCUCUGAUCCUUACAAUGUUAUUUGUAAAUGUUUUUACAUUGUGAGUUAUUGGUGAAAGAUAUUGACUAAUUCCUCUCAUUGCUUUAUUUUUGUUCUUGAUUUCUGUAUUUUUUCCUUUUGAUGAACUUCUUUUUACAGUGCUGGUAUGGUGGUCCUGAAUUUCUUAAAGGGCUAUUUGUCAUGAAACUUCUUAAUGUUUUCCUCAAUUUGGAAAGGUAUGUUUGUACAAUAUUAUAAUGUACAGUGAAGAUUUUCUUUUGGACUUGAUGAAUUCCUACUAGUCCACCUGUCUAAAACCAAAGUCCAUGUUGCAUGCUUGUGAUUUGAUUUAUGUUCCAACUUUCAUAAAAUGCCAGGAAUUUGCGAGGCACACAAGGAGCCUGUGAAGUCACCCUCAUUCUCCUCCCCUGUGUAUUCAGGCUUCACUGGAGCACAGGUCCUUGUUACUCAUGACCUCUUCCCACUCAGUCUUCUCUACUGACUCUGUAGACUCUGGGUCAUCUGAUUUGUUGCCGUGUUUGUCUUGUGAAGGUCAUUACAAUGGAGAAGGUUAUUAAUGAAUUGUGCUUGGUAGGCAGCUGAGGUUCCCAAGGGAUACAGACCUUAGUCACAAUUUGCUCCUCUCAAGGCAUCAUCGUCUUUGUCUUCCACAACCUCAAGCAACUGGCUGUGCUUUUCCCCAGGCAAGUAGCACAUGAGGGCAGCAGUCCACCCCAAGCAGGGAGGUUUAUGUUGAGAUUCUAACAGUGCGGGAAGAGCUUGUGGACCUUCAUGCAGUAAUAAAUUCCAACAUCCUCAGCUUCCACCCUGCUGAUUUUGAGUGGGAAAUGUAUGCCUGACUCACUGCCACUGGAUAUUUUGAGACAUAAAGGUGUUUCUUAAAAUGUUAUAAAUCAUACGCGAUGGAGGGCACCCUGGCAUCUGUAUAAGUGAAUUGAGGAGAUGUUUGCCUCCUAGAUCAGGAGGCUUUGAUUUGAUCUGCAGGAGAUGGAGGCUGAGUCUCCAGUGGUGAUGGACAGACAGAGUAGAUUCUGGCUCAUCUCAACAACUCAGUGUAUCCCAAAAUAAUGAAGAAGGAGGAUCAGUACAUUUUUAUGAUUUUCUAUUUUUAUAAGUUGCAAACUGCAUUUUUAAUUUUGAUGUAUAAAGAAAACUAUUCAAAUUUUAAAAGUUAGGUAAAUUUUGGUGCAUUUUAAGUAUACAUGGUGAUGCAACUUCAUAGGGAACUGGCUCCAGUACAUGAUAUAGGUUGAUUCCUUUAUCUCCAUUCCUCUCUACUCUCCUCAGUCCUUGAUCCCCUCCUUAUUUACAAAACCUUUGUUUCCAUUUUUCCUUCUUUUAUCAUUUUUUCUUCUGUCUUUCCGUACCCUAGUUCCCUUUCCCAUUUGAACAUUUUCUUACUAUUUCACAUCUGUUAUGCCUUUUGAUACUCACUCUUUUAAGCUCUCACAGUGGAGAAACAAUGUGGUAUGUACACUUGUGAUGAGCAUUUGUGUUGCUUCUAAGACUUGGUUAAUACGAACCAGGCUGCUCUUCACAGUGAAGGUGCCAGUCUCAUAUUUGUAAAACCUUCCAUGUCCUUGGAGCCCCUGGUACCUGGGACAGACUAGGAUGAGGCCAGUGAGUCAUUUGCCUUGGGUGCAAAAAUGAAGAAAUUGCCCACAUCUGUGUCACUUGUAUGAUUAACUUCAAAGCAUCUAAAGUUGUGCAAAGACCAUCUAAUAGUAAAAAAAAAAUCAGAAUUGUGGUGGAAACAAGAUCUUGUGAACAAAUAAAAAUGGGGAUUGUGGCAAUAUAUGAUAUUGCUAGGCCUAUUUGGUUGGUGAUUUUGGUCGUGUUUCUGCCACGAGUUGCGAGCAGUGGCUGGGUUGAAAGUGGCAUUGCAAGUGUCUAUUGCAAGGUUAUUAGACUCGAAGACACUUGAUGUCUGUAACAUGGAGAAUGGCUUGUGUGCUGUUCUUGGCUGGGACAAGGGUGUGUGCCGGGUUUAAUUCUAAAGACUGCAAGAGCCCUGGAUCAUGUUAGGAGGACGAUGGAAAUGAUGUUUCACCAGUGUUCUAUAUGAGCCAGUUUUCAAUAAAUAAAAUGAAAAUAACAGACACACUAAAUUCAUGGAGCUUCCCGAGAUAUCUGUGGCAGUUCUGCUGGAGUUGAAUUAGGUCACACUGUUGUAAGCAAAAUAUUGCAAAAAACAGUGUCACUGGGCACUUGCAGGGCAUAAAGCUGACCAGAAGAGGGUAGCACAUACACACUUCUGUAGGUGAAGCCUUCAGUUUGUUCCUUCUGCUCAAGGUGCUCUGAUCCCACAAGUGAAACUUUUUGGUUGGUUUUAUAGCAAGGAUCCCCAAGGGAAAUGUCCUUUGCAUGUAAUACAGAUAAAGUUUACUGUUGAAAACAAAAGUCGUUUUAUUAAUGUUAUUUUGUCUCUGGUCCAUGAAUUUCUCUCAGUUUCACUCAUUCUUUCUUGCCAUUUUUAUCUUAGUAGCCAGUCCUUCUUGGCCUCCCUCGUGGAUUUCUCUUCAUAUCAUUGCUUUCCACACUGUGUUGCCUUCAGGGUCCCAGUCUGCUUUCAUCUGUUUCUGCUCGUCUGUCCUUCUGAGUUCCUCCUCACGUCUCAGCACAGGUCCCUGAUCUCCAGAAUCCCUCCUGUGUCUCUGGGUUAGGACAUCACCAGCUGGAGUCAUGGGACAUCUCGAAAUUCUCUCCUGCUCCCUCCCAUGUCCUCAGUCCCCCGCCACUCCUUGCUGCUUCCCUUCCACACCCCUGAUCUCACAAUACAUGGUUUCAAAUUCAACAGUUGCAGAAACUCAAACCUGUAGAACAGUUAUCAUGUUUUUUUUUAAUAUUUUCACACACAAAACAUUCAGAAGGAGAAGAAAGUUCAUUAUUUUGCCUUUACAAUACAGUAACCAUCUGCUUACUUUUCACUACAGCCUCUGUUGGGUCAAGGGUGUGUACAAGGAAGACCUCAGCGUAGAGAGUUUUCUUCUCUCUCUUCCAUGACACAGCUCCUUGCUGCUCUGCUCUUUUCCUCAUGUUCCCUGGCAGAGGCCUCAGCUGCAGCUUUUUGUUCUGAUUCUUCAACCUCUUCCUCUCACAGAGAGCAGGCUGUGCUGUGCUGCUCCCCAGACAGCAGUGCAGGAGGGCAGCUGGGCCUCCCCAGGCAGGGAGGUUUGUGUUCGGGACUGUAGAACUGUGAGAGGAAGAUGUGUACCUUGAAACUGUAAUAAACUCCAGCAUCUUCGGCCUCCAGCCUGCUGAUUGUGAGUGUGAAAUCUGCCCUCACCCACUGCCACUGAACCUGUCAGAGAGAUGCCAGAAUAUUGGUUGGAACCCUCAUAAAUCACACCCCUUGGAGCCUGGCCUGGCUUGUGCACAACCCAAUACAGGUAAGUGUCUCCAUCACAAUGCAGGAGGCUGUGACUGGACCUGCAGGAGAUGGAAGGAGUCUCUCCAGUGGCGACAGACAGAGAGAGUGGGGUCUGGGUCAUCAGAACAUCUUCCAUGGAUCCUAAAAUGAUGAAGGAGAAGUGAAAUAUCAGGAACCAACAUCAUGAGCCUUUUUGAUAAAUUCUGUGUUUUGUCACUGUUAAGUGAAAUUAAUAUUUUUACAUUAAUGUACAGUAAAGAGUUUUCAAAUUUGAUAUUGCAUCCAAGAAUUCUAAUCAAAGAAUCCCUCUAGAAUUCAUCUGAGCAUCCCUGUUUUUCUUUGUGAAAUUUUCAUCAGAGGACGUGUCCUUAGUUCUUUGGGGACUUUCUUGACUCCCUGAUCUAACAUCACACACCCAUGCUUCAAGUCAGGGCUGCACAUUUCACAUAUGGACAGAAGUCAGCCAGGUGGCAAUGGGACUCACCUUUUGACCCAGUGCCCCUCCUCAUCUCCCUGUGUCCUUACCAGUGAUCCAGACCAGUAGCGGCCACAUCGGCUGAAUAUGGAGCCUCAUUUUGUGAAAUUUAACUUAAGAGUCCUGAUCAGUCAAGGCAAAGUUACAGCCAGCUUUUAUCUGAGACUUGCUUGGGAAGUUCCUCCAUGGGGACAAUAUGCAAAUUCCCUGGUGGGUGAAGAGGUGCAGAAGGAGUGCAGAGCAUGGUGGGAGGCUUCUCAUGUGGGCCCAGUGGUAUCAAGUGUCCUCUGUGUCGGGGGAAUCAAUGGAGCUACAGUCCAUGCUGUGUGCAGCAGUAGGUACCAGGAUCCCUUGGAAAAUCAGCAUCUGCAGCAGGGGCACCGUGCUCAGGGCUGUGCCCACCCCAGACAGGACUGCAGUCCCCAGGAUACAGGGGUGUGCAGAUCAGUCUCUGGGAGGGGAAGGCUCAUUCCUCUUAGAAAGAAGCAAUUCUCACCUCAUGAGAACUCAUUUUUAGUCCUUUCUACUGUUAGCAGCGUGUAGCAGAGCUGUUAACUCUUCUCAUGUGACUCGCUGAACUCUCAUCAUCUUAGAAACAAAUAUUAGAUAUAAUCUUCCUUGACCUGGAAAUGAAAUGACAUAGGGCAGCAAACUGAAAAGAAUAUGAUACAGAGAAAAGUAUCUGUCUUUUCGUUGGAGAUCAGUAACUCUGUUGAAGGCAAGAAGUAAAAGAAAACUAAAUAUGCCUUAUAUAGACGAUGUGAAAUUCUUUGCAUUUAGAUUUUGAAACUGGUAAAUACCUGGUCACGACUGUUCUUUUGUAGAUAUGUAUAUCCUUAUACACACACACACACACACACACACACACACACACACACACAAAAUCACACACACAAUCACAUAACCCAGAUAAUAAAAUAACCUUUUCAUAGCUAUCCUUUGUUUUAAUAGAUGUUAGGCAACUUUCGUCCAUAAUUUAAAGAGACAUUCUCAAUGUCAGAAUGUCAUGAUUGAAUCCAGUGUUUUAACCUUUCAGGAUGAUUUGAAUCAAUGACUGGCAUGGUCCUGGAGUUUAUCUGAGAUGGUCACUGUGGAAAGGGCAUCAGUUGGAAACUUCCUCCAAAGCUGUGAGAGGGGGCAUAAAUAUACAACAGGGAAGAAGAGUCUCCCAGCCACACAUCAUUGUGAAAAACACGGAAGCAUCUUAAGGCGCUGUGUAUGAGUCAUCUCUUCCGAACUUGCUUGUUCUGCCAGUGUGUACUAGAAACACACAGGUUCAGUUUAACAGGAACCAGAGCGCUGGCUGAUGAGGAGCAGGAACAACAGCAGCAACCACAGGCACCACCAGAGAGAACACCAUGGGAAAGACACGGAAAACCAGUACUCUGCUGGUACUGUUUGCUUCUUUCACAUGUGCUCUCCCCAGCCCAUCCUUCCCUCAUGUGUCUUUCUGUCUCUGUAUUUAUCCCUUUCAAGUGUGCGCUGUUAUUUCCCAGGGUUGGAUGGGCUGCUGUUCAUAGUGAAGAUGCCAAUAUCUUGUGAAUAAAAUCCUCCAUGUCCUUGGAUUCCCUGGUUCCUGGGACAGACUAUGGUGAGGCCAGUGAGGCAUUUGCCUAGGGUCCAAAACUGAAAAACUGUGCACAUCUCUGUUACUUGUAUAACAAAUGUUAAUGCAUCCAAAGAUGUGCAAAGGAAUUGCACUUUCUAGGAAAAAAUCAGAAUUGUAGGUGAAAACAAGACCUUCCUUGUGAACAUAUAAAUUUCACUAGGGAUUGUGACAAUAUGAUUUUGUAAGUGUACUUGGUUUGUGAUUUGGAUUGUGUUUCUGCCACCAGUUGGUAUCAGUGGCUGGGUUGAUAGGAGCAUUACAAGUGUGUUCUGCAAGAUCAUUAGAGCCUAGGACACUUGAUUUCUGUAGCAUAGAGAAUUGUUUCUGUGCUGUGCAUGCUGUGCUUGGUUGGGGCAGGGGUGUGUGCCAGGGUUAAUCCUAAGGACUGCAUGAUCACUGGAUCACUUUAGGAGGACUACAGAAAUGAUUAUUCAUGAGUGUUGUGCAUGAUCCAGUUUCCAAUAAUAAAAUGAAAAAAAAUGAAAACAUUAAAAGCCUAAAGUUUCCUGAGAUAUCUGCGGCAAUUCUGCUGAUGUUGAAUUAGGUCUGUCCUAGUCAGGGGUUGUACACAGAGAACAAUUUAUAUCAGGACAUGGAGUUUUUAUUAUUUUUAUAACGGUCACCGGAAGUUAACACAGGAGAAUGCAGGAAAUCUAUCCACAACACCAACAAUACAGAUUAUUUAGUCAAGAGUCUAAAUCCCAUGGCAAUGUCCCACAUGAGUCCAGAUAAAAACCCAGAGCUCAGAACAACGCCUCCCCGAGUCCAACUGCAAGUCCAGAGCCCACAAGAGGGACUCGCACCAGUCUCUUUUACAGAUUCGUGCCGCGAAAACCCAAGGGUCAGCGGUGGAAGCCAGAAAGUCUAUACCAGCAGGAUGAAGGAGCUGUGCUAGUGGGAUGAGGGUUCUACACUGGAGCCGAGAAGUCACACUCACAUCAAAGAGCAGGGCUGUCCUGAAAGGCACCCCAGGUGUCCUUAGCGACACGGAGGCCCCGAGCUCCUCCAACGACAAGCACAGUCAGGUAUGUGCCAAGAAGCAGCGUGACGAGUUCAUCCUGGAGAACAUGUCUUCCACCCUGGAGCCAGGAAUCAAUGCUCGAUAUGAAGACCAAAGCUUCUCCAGGAGAACCAACAGCUCAGACAGCAACUCAUAGGAGAACCCAGAAUGUCUCCUUAAUGCCUCAAUCCCUCCCAACACCUCUCUUCUUCUCCACCUAUUUAUCCUGGCAACACUCUUCAGGUGGAGAAUCUUCUCUCACUGCAUGCUGAUGUAAUCCAGCUGGCGUUAAGUUGAGCACCAGUUUUCAAACCAUAAGAAGGUCACAGUGUUGUAAGCAAAAUAUUGUAAUAAAUAGUUUGAAAGAGGCUGAACAAUGUUGCUAGGCACUUGCAGUGUAAGAAGGUGACCAAAAAAGGGAAGCACAUGCACACUUCUGUAGCUGAAACCUUCAGUAUCUUCCUGCUCAAGGUCCUGUGAUCCCACAAAUGAAAGGAUCCCCAAGGGGAAAUUGCAUUUGAAUGUAACAUAGGUUAAGUUUACAUUUGAAAACCGAAAUAUCAUUCUACUAAUGGUAUUUUGACUCUGGGACAUGAAUCUCUCUUAGUUUCACUCUUUCUUUCUUUCUUUCUUUUUAUUUUUAUCAUAGUAGCCAGUGCUUCUGUGCCUCCCAUUGGAUUUCUCUUCAUCUCUUUGCUUUCCACACCGUGUUACCUUCGGGGUCUCAUCUGCUUCCAUCUGUUUCUGCUCACUUUCUCCUUUGGAAUUGUUCUUCAUAACUCAGUGCAGGUCUUGGAUCUCCAGAAUCCCUCCUGUGCCUCUGGGUUAGGUCAUGACCAGCUGGAGUCAUGGGACAUCUCAAAAUUCUAACCUGUUCCCUUCCAUGUCCUCAGUCCCCAGGCCACUUGUUGCUGCUUCCCUUCAACUCCCCUGGUCUCACUACAUAUGUUUUCAAAUUUUCUAGUUGCACAGAUUCAAACUUUUGGAACACUUAUUGUGAUUUUUUUUUUACCAUUUUCUUACACAGCACAUCCAGAAAUACAAUGAAGUUCAUUUGUUUUGUCUUUAAAAUACAGUCACCUUCUGCCUACUUUUCGCUACACCAUGUGUUGGGUCAAGAGUGUGCACAAGGAGGACCUCAGAGUGGAGAGAUUUCUUCUCUCUUUCUCUUCCAUGACACAGGUCCUUGCUACUCUGCUAUCUUUCUCACUUUCUGUCCCAGGCAGAGGCCUCAGUUGCAACUUGUUGUUCUGGUUGUUCAGCCUCUUCCUCUCACACCUCAGGAUGUUCUGUGGUACUCCCAAGACCACAGUGCAGGAGGGCAGCUGGGCCUCCCCUGGCAGGGAAGUUUGUAUUUAGGCUUGCAUCACUGUGAGAGGCACAUGUGUACCUUGAUAACUGUAAUUAAGUCCAACAUCUUCAGGCUGCACCUUGCUGAUUUUGAGUUUAAAAUCUGUCCCUGAACUACUGCCACUGAACCUCUCUGAGAUACCAGAAUAUUGGUUGGAAGCCUCAUAAAUCACACCUCUUGGAGCCUGGUCUGGCUUUUGCACAACCCAAUGCAAAUAAGUGUCUCCAUCACUAUGCAGAAGGCCCUGACCGGCCCUGCAGGAGAUGGAGGUCGUUUCUUCAGUGGUGACUGACAGAGAGAGUGAGGUCUGGGACAUCCCAACAUCUCCCAUGGGUUGUAAAAUGGUUAAAGAGAAUUGCAAUGUCAGGAAACAACAUCAUGAGCCUUUUUCAUAGAUUUCUAUGUUUUCUCAUUAUGAAGUGAAAUUAAUAUUUUUAUCUUAAUCUACAAUGAAAAAUUUUCAAAUUAGAGAUUGUGUCCAAGAUUUCUAAUCCCAAGGAUCCCUCUAGAAUUCAUCUGAGCCAGCCUGUCUUUCUUUGUGGCAAUCUUCAUCAGAGGCCAGUUCCUCAGACCUUUGGGAAUUUUCUUGACUCCCUGAUCUAACCUCACUCACCCAUGCUUUAAGUUAGGGUGGCACAUCUCACAUAUGGACAGAAGUCAGCUCAGCAGCAGUGGGAUGCAGAAACUCACCUUGACAACCAAUCCCCCUCCUCACCUCCGUGUGUCCUCACCAGUGAUCCAGAGCAGUAGCAGCCCAGGGGCUGACGAGGGAGUCUCAUUUUGAGAAAUUAAACUGCCGAGUUCUGAUCAGUCAAGGCCAAGUUAGAGCCAGCUUUCAUCUGAGACUUGCUUGGAAAAGCUUCCCUGGGGACAAAAUGCAAAUCCCCUGAUGGGUGCAGUGGUGCAGAAAGAGUGCAGAGCAUGGAGGGAGGCUUCUCAUGUGAGCCCAGUGGUAUAAAAUGUCCUCUGCAUUUGGAAGAAACAAUUGAGUUACAGUCCAUGCUGUGUGCAGCAGUGGGCACAAGGAUGCCUUGGAAAAUUUGCAUCUGCAGCAGGGACACAGUGCUUAGGGCUCUGCCCACCCCAGAAAGUUCUGCAGUCCCCAGGAUACAAGGAUGUGUGCAGAUCAGUCUCUGGGAGGGAAUGCUCAUGCCUCUUAGCCUCCUGCAAGAGGAGGAAGCAAUUCUCCCUUCAUGAGAACACAUUUUUAUUCCUUUCUACUGUUAACAGCACGUAACAGAGCUGGUAAGCCCUUUUGACAUCACUGUUUGAACUCUCAUCAUCCCAGAAACAGGUACUAGAUAUAACCUUUUCUUUGACCUAGAAAUUAAAUGUCAUAGGAGCAUCAAAACCAAAUCAUGAUACAGAGAAAAAUAUUUGUCUUCUGGUUGGAGAUCAGUAACUGUUGAAGGUAAGAAGUAAAAGAAAAAAAAAUAAACUAUAUAUAUAUAUAUAUUUCGAUAAAUUACUUGUUAUUAGAUUUUGAAAUUGGUAAAUACCUGGCAAGCCUGUUCUCUUUUAGAUAUUUGUAUCCUGAUACACACACACACACAUCCCCCAGUUUUAAUUCUUACGCAAAAAAAUCUCUUGGUUUUACAUAAAUGAAUGAGACACAAUUGAUGCUACUUUUUUCUGAAUGAUCAUAAUGCAACAUUUUCAUAGCUACUCUGUUUUAACAGACAUUGGGUAACCAUGGUCCAUAAUUUAAAGAGGUAUUCUAAAUAUCAGAAUGGCAUGAUUGAAUCCAAUGUUCUAACAUCUCAGGGCAAUUUGACCAAUAGUGACAUGAUCCUAGAGUUUAUAAAAAUGGUCACAGUGGAAGGUGAUUUAACUUGUUUUUUUUAAGUUAAAAAAAUAAAGAAUAUUAAGAUAAAAGAUGGCAUAACAACACAAGUCAGAACAGAACAAUUUAAGCAACAUAGUGUUUCACCUCAAGAUAACCCAGUAUAACAGUAGGUACCAUAGUGUCCACUUCCUUGAAAUAUUUGUGUAUACCUUCAUAUACUAUAGCAGCAAACAUAACAAGACAGUGUAAAACCAUUUAAGAGGAUGAAAGUAUUACAGGGUAUUUAAAGCCAACUAACGAAUAAUGAACAAUGGUUUCUAUAUUACCUACUUGUCUAUAAAAAGCUUUGUGUAUACUAUCACAUAUACUAAAAUCCAGUAAGAUACAACAUGAUAAAACCGAUGGAGACAGGAGAGCAAAAGCUUGAUGGGACUUCAAAACAAGCUGAUAUUACAUCAGCACUAGCUAAUUUAAUGUCUUGUUUUCUUCAAAAUAGCUGUUCAUACUAUCACAGACAAUAAAAUCAAACACCCCAGAAUAAAACCAUUCCAAUUAAUGAAUGAAAACAUUAUAAGGCUUCAAAAUAUAAUGGGGAAUCAUGAUUACCACAUACUUUUAUGUGUUCUUACUAUUUCUUACACUAGGUAAAUAUUCGGUAUUUAUACAUGUGAGUUUGAUUUAUUUUGCUUAUGAGUAUGUUCUAAAGCUGUGUCCAUUUAUUUACAAAUACCUUACUGUGAUCAUUCUUUAUAGUUGAGUCUCCAUUGUAUAAAAAUACCACAACUUUUAUCCAUUCCUCAGUUGAUGGACACUUAGGUUGUUUCCAAGAUCUGGCUAUUACAAACUGUGCUGCUAUGAAUCUGGGUGCACAUAUAUCACUGUGAUAUGAAGUCUUCAGUUCUUCAGGGAAUUAGCCUAGAAGUGAAAUAGCUGGAACAAAUGGGACCUCCAAUCCCAGCUUUCUGAGAAAUCUCCAAACUGACCUCCAAAAUGGUUGCAACAGUCUACAUUCCCACCAACAGUGCAGGAGAGUUCCUUUUUCCCCACAGCCUCUUCAGCAUUUGUUGUUGGUAGUUUUCUUGCUCCUGGCCAUUCUAUCUGGAGUGAGAUGGAAUCUCAGUGCGGUUUUAAUUUGCAUUCCUCUAAUAAGUCGUGCUGAUGAACAUUUUUCAUGUAUUAAUUUGCCAUUUGUAUUUCUUCAUCUGAGAAUUGUGUUUUCAUCUCAGAUGCCCAUUAUUGGAUUGGAUCCUUGAAUUUUGGGGUCUGAUUUUUUUUUUAAUUUCUUAUAUGUUUUAGACAGAAGUCCUUUGUCUGAGGCACAGUAUGAUAAGUUUUUUUUUCCCAGUUUGUAGGUUUUCGUUUCACUAUGCUAGAGAUUUAUUUUGAUGUGCAGAAACUUUUAAUAAGACAUGAGCCCAGUUGUGAUUCUGGGAAGUAUUUCCCAUGCAUUUUGAUUCCUGUUCAUGAAUUCUCUACCUACCCCUAUGUCUUCAAUGUUUUUACCCACUUUGUUUUCCAAUAUACUUAGUGUUUCUGUUUUAAUAUUCAUAUCUUUGAUCCAUUUGAAUUUUAAUUUUAUACAUGGUGAUAGGCAUGGGUCUAGUUUUGGUUUUUGGCAUAUGGAGAGUCAGUUAUUUCAGCACCAUUUAUUAAAGAGACUGUCUUUAUUCCAGUGAACAUGUUUGGCCCCUUUAUCAAAGAUAAGGUGGUUGAGUAUCUUUGUAGCUGUGGUUGUACCUUCUAAUCUAUUCCACUGAUCUUUAGAUUGAUUUUUAUUGCAGUACCAGGUUGAUUUUACUACAGUUGAUUUGUAGUAUAACUUCAAGUCAGGGAUUGUGAUGCCUUCUGCCUUGUCUUUGUGGCUUAGAACUGUCCUUGCUCUUCUAGGUCUCUCCUCACUCCAGAUGAAAGUUAGGAGUGAUUUCUCGAAAUCUAUGAGGUAUAUUGAUGGUAUUUUUAUCAGGAUUCAGUGAAUCUGUAUAACAGCUUUGGGAGAAUGGCCAUUUUCACAAUAUUUAUUCUUCCUAUCCAUGAGCAAGGGAUGUCUUUCCACUUUCUGAGAUCCUCUUCAUUUUAUCUUUUUCAGUUUAUUAUAAUUUUUCCUAUGUAGAUCUUUCACAUCUUUUGUGAAAAUAAUUCCUAAAUAUUUCAUUUCUUUGGUUGCUAAUGUGAAGGGUGUGGCUUCUCUUAUUUCUCUCUGUGUGAUUUUGUUGUUAGUGUAUGGAAAUGCUAUUGAUUUUUGAGUAUUGAUUUUGUAUCCAGCUGCAUUUCUAAAUUUACCUACUAUAUCUAGAAAUCUUUCAAUGGGGUUUUUCAUUGGGGUCUUCUAUGUAGAGAUGCAUGUCAUCUGCAAAGAAUGAUACUUUAACUUCUUCUAGGGUUUUAAGUUUUAACUUCCUCAAAAGCUAUGAGAGAGUAAAUCCAAGCUGUCAUUCAUCUAUAAGGUUAUGUAAUUUUUUAUGACAGCUCUAGAGUUGCUGCAUGCCUCUCACACAUUUGGGAAAGUGCAUUUGUGAAAAGUUACGUAAAGGAGGAUUCUGUAAUGUGUGCUCUAAUUGUCCAUAAAAUAUUCUCUGGAUGUGCUUAUCCCCCUCUAUGUGUGAUGGGUGGGUUUUGGCUGUUAAACCUAGAACAUUCACACUGAACUACAUCAUGCAUCCUUUGUAUCUCUUUGAUUCUGAGACUGGGUCUUAUAUCAGUGUUCAGCUGCCAAGUUUCUGCUCCACUGUUCAUUCUCCUGCCUCAACCUCAGUGUGCUGGGCUGACAGUCAUUCACUAUCUCGUGUGACUUUGUUUUCUGAAUGUGUGGGUUCUCUCCAAAUAGUCCGAGAGGUUGAAACAUUCACUUGUUGGACCUGUGUCAUCUCUUAAGGCCUUGAUCCUCAUCUGUGUCACAUGAAUAAGUAAUAAAUGAAAUGAAAUAAAAUAAAUUUAGCUCAUUGAGGCCAUCAGAUAUCAAAGUUCUAAAGUUUAACACAGAUGUAGAGGAGACCACGAGUUGUUAGCAUCAGACAUUUAGUACACAUUGAGCUGUUGUACUAAAUUUUUAAAAAACUAAAAUAGUUAGUUAAAAGAUAGUUACUAGCAAAAAUAUUUAGUUAAAAGGAUAGUUAUUAGCAGAAUUGUCUUUCUGUUCUGUGCUCAUUACCCUAGUAACUACGAAGCACCAACCAUUUCGUUAUAGAUUGACUGCCUGCGAUGUUCAUAUUGUGUCAUUUAGUAUGUCAUUUAGUAACCUGUUUGCUUUGUCAACCUUUGUUCCCUUUGCCAGAAACAAAUUAUGCUGUGUCAACCAUUGUUCCCUUUAUGAGAGACAAAUGUUCCUGGAAUUGGCAGACCAAGGACUAUGAAUUGACUAACCACCCCCUGUGAAAUGCCUGUGACCUCAUGCAAAGGGCAACAAAGGCUCACCUUGGUUCUGUUUCUUAUCGCUAUGUACUUAAUGAUCAAUGAGCUAAUCAUAAAUGAACUAUAAAAAUCUGUCAAAAUUCUAGCGCAGGUGCACAGCUUUGCAAACUCCAUCUGCACUGUGCUACUGAGUACCAGCUUAAAUAAAGUGUUCUUUUACA
Cavia porcellus (domestic guinea pig) is the source of this 13429-nucleotide long non-coding RNA. RefSeq lists it as uncharacterized. The transcript has 4 exons. The record is from RefSeq and is a predicted model, not a curated record. Lineage: Eukaryota; Metazoa; Chordata; Mammalia; Rodentia; Caviidae.